GUCUAUGGCCACACCACCCUUAAUGUGCCCAAUCUUACCCGAUCUUGGAAGCUAAGCAGGGUCUGGCCUGUUUAGUACUUGGAUGGGAGAAACUAUCAAAAAUAAAACACGAGGACUGGAGAGAUGGCUU
RNAcentral lists this ribosomal RNA (130 nucleotides) under Jaculus jaculus (lesser Egyptian jerboa). The record is from RNAcentral. Lineage: Eukaryota; Metazoa; Chordata; Mammalia; Rodentia; Dipodidae.